This 245-nucleotide small RNA is filed under the name Escherichia coli K-12. Lineage: Bacteria; Pseudomonadati; Pseudomonadota; Gammaproteobacteria; Enterobacterales; Enterobacteriaceae. The record is from RNAcentral.
GGUCAGGAGCGCCAGGAGGCGAAGACAGAGGAUUGUCAGGAAGACAAACGUCCGGAGACGUAAUUAAACGGAAAUGGAAUCAACACGGAUUGUUCCGGCUAAAGGAAAAACAGGGUGUGUUGGCGGCCUGCAAGGAUUGUAAGACCCGUUAAGGGUUAUGAGUCAGGAAAAAAGGCGACAGAGUAAUCUGUCGCCUUUUUUCUUUGCUUGCUUUCUGUUAGAUUCCGCCGCAAAUCUAUACUGAA